AAAAUGCAGAAAUUAGCCAGGCCUGGUGGUGUGGGCCUGUGGUCUCAGCUAUUCAGGAGGCCAAGGUGGGAUAAUUGCUUGAGCCCAGGAGGCAGAGGUUGUAGUGAGCCAAGAUCACGCCACUACAUUCCAGCCUGGGGGACAGAGCGAGGCCCUGUCUCAAAAAAAGAGAUUGUCUGUUUUUCAGGUCUUCUUUGUGAUCCGCCUCAUUGCUGGCCCUGCCGCCAACUCCCUGCCUCCCAUUGUUGAUCCUGACCCUCUCAUUCCCUGCGAUCUGAUGGAUGGUCGGGAUGCCUUUCUCACGCUGGCAAGGGACAAGCACCUGGAGUUCUCUUCACUCCGAAGAGCCCAGUGGUCCACCAUAUGCAUGCUGGUGGAGCUGCACACACAGAGCCAGGACCGCUUUGUCUACACCUGCAAUGAAUGCAAGCACCAUGUGGAGACACGUUGGCACUGUACUGUCUGUGAGGAUUAUGACUUGUGUAUCACCUGCUAUAACACUAAAAACCAUGACCACAAAAUGGAGAAACUAGGUCUUGGCUUAGAUGAUGAGAGCAACAACCAGCAGGCUGCAGCCACCCAGAGCCCAGGCGAUUCUCGCCGCCUGAGUAU
RNAcentral lists this small RNA (612 nucleotides) under Pongo abelii (Sumatran orangutan). RNAcentral's name for it is "retained intron". Lineage: Eukaryota; Metazoa; Chordata; Mammalia; Primates; Hominidae. The record is from RNAcentral.